GGAUUUUUCCAUGACAAACCAUCGCCUUUCCCAAUGCUGAGCGGUGGGAACAGGCCACUUUGUUUGUACAAAGCAGCGUCUGGGAGGAAUGCGGGGUUUAGCCGGGGAGGGGAUGGCAGGAGGAACGUAUGAUAACUCCCACUCCAUUCAGAUUUAUGGUCAAGACAGAGGGGCUCCUCUGGAUGCAUGUCAGGGGACUAGUAGAACACCGCCCCUCUACUCCGGGCCUGCCAAAGCAAAUGUUUAGCCGAACGAUCCCUCGCUAUUCUUUACAUCCUUCUUUUCUUUUUUGUGUGUCAUCAUAUGGAAAAUCUUCUCCACUGCUCCGGGACACCAGCGGACCCAUUCAUCUCUCUCUUUCUGUGUCUCUCUCUCCCUCCCUCCCUCCCUCCCUGGUCUAAUCAGAGGACCACACACUCCCUCAUCUCAUCUGAUGUCUGGUAAUUGAAGGCCAUGUUCGCAGCUUGGCCCUUGGGAUGGCCAUGUCGGUCGGUUGGUCGCUUGGUCCACUUCGUAUCUCACUUGACUAUUUCUUGGCUGGGACCAGUAUUUUCCUGGAGUCCCUGCUGGUUGCCAAGCAGCUGGUCUCGACCGAAUAGUCUGGCAGCCCCAUGUAAAACGGUCUCUCUGCUCCCAUGCUGCUGAUGCUGCUGCUGGUCAGCCAAACCUGCUGAUCCUGGCGCGGCGGCUGGCGCCCCCUGGAGAACUCUUCUCCGCCCAAUCCAGGGGAUCCGAUUGACACUGCGAGUGUGCCAUCUGCCCCUCUACAAGAUUACACAGUGCACUGGGCCAAGAAAUCCUCCAGCACAGCAGAUUAAAUAUGAAAUAUAGGGCAGACAUAGUUGUGCCGCUGCAUGUCUAGAUUUAGUGGUGCCAUGUCGCCCCUCUAUAUUUGUACCACUGUAAGCUUUUUUUCCAGGUGUGUGUCUGGAUUAGGAAUUUUCUUUAUUUGUUUCAUUCUGUUCUUUUUUGUGUAUCGUUAUUGAACCAGACAUUAUUGUGUAAAGUUUUUUAUUAUUCUUUUUUUCCCAUCUUUUGUGUGUUAUUUAUGUGAAUCCUACAGUGCAACACCUAAUCCUCGUCUUGUCUCUUCUCUUUAAAUUUUAAUGAAUCCAAUUUGCACCUUUGCGCUGCUUAUUUCCUAAACGUGCUGGUGGUUGAUUUAUUCCAAAACAAAGGAAACUGUGAGAGAAAUAGAAAAAUGGAGAAAAAGAGAGCAAAUCAACAGAAACCUGAGAGCAAGCAAAGAUAACCACGUCUGAAAACGGUUACUAUGGAAACUGUGCCUUUCUUUCCUCUCCUCUGGUAUAUUUAGAGUCGCACAUUUUCGUGUAACAGUGUGUACAAAUUAGCACACACCCCCUUCCCUGUAUUCUUCCAUACA
This is a long non-coding RNA of Perca flavescens (yellow perch), 1384 nucleotides long. RefSeq lists it as uncharacterized. Lineage: Eukaryota; Metazoa; Chordata; Actinopteri; Perciformes; Percidae. The record is from RefSeq and is a predicted model, not a curated record. The transcript has 4 exons.